UCAGGACAGUGCCCAUGCCUGUAUCACUGUUUGCUUCUCAGUGCCUAGAGCCACCUCUGGCAUAGCUGCUUGGACCCUAGGUGGGUCUCACCUGCUGCAUCAUGGGGAAGGCAGGAGAAGGAGUUUCUGACUGAGGCCUGAAAUCCCAUGGUUUCUGUUUUCUGGUCUGGGAUUGGACAGGGACCAUGUCGAAGGGGAUGGGUGCUAUCCACUGGAAGCCCUCUCCCUCACCUGGGAGGAUGAAGAGUACCUGACCGUCCACUGCUCGUCCAAAGGCCAGCUGUCCUGUGGAAACUGCUUGGAGCUAGACUCGGGGACCUUUCCUUUGCCACAGUUUUGUCCAGAGUCCUGGCCUCUGGAAGGGAGCCUGGAGAGUGAGAGUGAGUGGGAAGAUCUGGAGAAGCCCAAGGAUGCAAUGACAAUGCCCUCAGGUGAACAGAGUCCCAGCCAGUCUCGUGGAACAGGACCUCAGGAUUUCUGAGUGGUGAUCCCUUUGGCGGCAGAGGCCUCAAAUGACUGUGGUACAGAGAAUGUGCCCACCAGCUGUGUCACCAGGAAAGAUGAUGACCUGGGAUGGAGCGACUGGCCCAGGUGUUAAGGGCUAAUUCUAAAGGAGGACACCUGUCAUUCCUGGAACUCAUUUUGGACAGUUCUGGAAUUUCAAUCAAGGAAAGCUCUGUGUGUGUGUGUGUUGGGGUGAGGGUGGGCGCUUCUCCUGGAGAGAGGAGUUGGGAACCAACCUCUUCCAUCAAGGUACCUUGGGCAAGCGCCUGGUGCACACUUCCUGGAUAGAUGCAGCCUUCUGGUUUGCACUGUUUACUUCAUUUCCCCAUUCAUAGAAGGAGUUUAUAUAGUUCUCAAAGUGCCCCAGUUUGCUGGGAAAUACCUGCUAAGGGCUUUUGCCCAAAGCCCAUGGGGAAAGCAUGUUUUGGUAUCUUUCUGCACUCUUCCUAUGCAACCCAAACAGUUAUACAUUCCUUUAAAACAAUUUUUCUUUUGUACUUAACACAUUGUUCUAGUGAUUAUGUGAAGAGAAAAUAAGAUGAGAAUAUUAAGAAGAAUGAAGUAGUAGAUCCAGCUUGAUCAGAUCUUAAGACAGAUCACCACCAUCAUGAUAAAAAUUAAACCACAUGAAUGUGCAAAUGCACAAAAGAAAUAGACCUGGAAAAUCCUUGGCACCAUGUGACAGGGGACAUAUGGCAGAGGGAAGAUCUCACAGGUACAACUAGGGGAGGGAGGGAGCAAGAGAAAGAGGGAGAGAGACAGAGAGACAGAGAGAGAGAGUGACAGCGAGAGACAGAGACAGAGAGACAGAGGAGACAAAGACAGAGACAGAGAGACAGAGAAACACACACACACAGAAGGAGACACCGAGGAAAGGAGACACCAACAGAGAAACCAGAUAGAAACAAAGUUUAAAAAAUCCUCUGCUCUAAAAUCUAAUUUAUGAACUACUUCUUUAUGUGCUUUCAUUUCUAAUCUUCCUGUCCUCUUCAUGAUAGAAUAGUCUUGUAGGUUAUGACUUUUUCUAUUGUAAAUGAAAAGGGAAUUUCCUGGGAAGUGAAUAGUCUUGUUUCAGAUUCUCUCAAGCUUCAGUGCCUCACAAUUAGAGAAUU
RNAcentral lists this long non-coding RNA (1616 nucleotides) under Heterocephalus glaber (naked mole-rat). RNAcentral's name for it is "lncRNA (ENSHGLG00100038307.1)". Lineage: Eukaryota; Metazoa; Chordata; Mammalia; Rodentia; Bathyergidae. The record is from RNAcentral.